AACGAACGCUGGCGGCAUGCCUAACACAUGCAAGUCGAACGAUUGCCUUCGGGUGAUAGUGGCGCACGGGUGCGUAACGCGUGGGAAUCUGCCCUUAGGUUCGGAAUAACAGCUGGAAACGGCUGCUAAUACCGGAUGAUAUCGCGAGAUCAAAGAUUUAUCGCCUGAGGAUGAGCCCGCGUUGGAUUAGGUAGUUGGUGGGGUAAAGGCCUUCCAAGCCGACGAUCCAUAGCUGGUCUGAGAGGAUGAUCAGCCACACUGGGACUGAGACACGGCCCAGACUCCUACGGGAGGAAGCAGUGGGGAAUAUUGGACAAUGGGCGCAAGCCUGAUCCAGCAAUGCCGCGUGAGUGAUGAAGGCCCUAGGGUUGUAAAGCUCUUUUACCCGGGAAGAUAAUGACUGUACCGGGAGAAUAAGCCCCGGCUAACUCCGUG
This 435-nucleotide ribosomal RNA is filed under the name uncultured bacterium. RNAcentral's name for it is "partial 16S ribosomal RNA". It matches the Rfam family "Bacterial small subunit ribosomal RNA", at positions 29 to 507 of the family's 1533-position model. The record is from RNAcentral.